RNAcentral lists this ribosomal RNA (433 nucleotides) under uncultured bacterium. RNAcentral describes it as "partial 16S ribosomal RNA". It matches the Rfam family "Bacterial small subunit ribosomal RNA", at positions 29 to 507 of the family's 1533-position model. The record is from RNAcentral.
AACGAACGCUGGCGGCAUGCCUAACACAUGCAAGUCGAACGAAACCUUCGGGUCUAGUGGCGCACGGGUGCGUAACGCGUGGGAACCUGCCCUUAGGUUCGGAAUAACUCCCCGAAAGGGGUGCUAAUACCGGAUAAUGUCUUCGGACCAAAGAUUUAUCGCCGUUGGAUGGGCCCGCGUUGGAUUAGCUAGUUGGUAGGGUAAAGGCCUACCAAGGCGACGAUCCAUAGCUGGUCUGAGAGGAUGAUCAGCCACAUUGGGACUGAGACACGGCCCAAAAUCCUACGGGAGGCAGCAGUGGGGAAUCUUGCGCAAUGGGCGAAAGCCUGACGCAGCAAUGCCGCGUGAAUGAUGAAGGUCUUAGGAUUGUAAAAUUCUUUCACCGGGGACGAUAAUGACGGUACCCGGAGAAGAAGCCCCGGCUAACUUCGUG